AUUGAACGCUGGCGGCAUGCCUUACACAUGCAAGUCGAACGGCAGCACGGGAGCAAUCCUGGUGGCGAGUGGCGAACGGGUGAGUAAUAUAUCGGAACGUGCCCAGUCGUGGGGGAUAACGCAGCGAAAGCUGUGCUAAUACCGCAUACGAUCUACGGAUGAAAGCGGGGGAUCGCAAGACCUCGCGCGAUUGAAGCGGCCGAUAUCAGAUUAGCUAGCUGGUGGGGUAAAGGCCUACCAAGGCGACGAUCUGUAGCUGGUCUGAGAGGACGACCAGCCACACUGGAACUGAGACACGGUCCAGACUCCUACGGGAGGCAGCAGUGGGGAAUUUUGGACAAUGGGCGCAAGCCUGAUCCAGCAAUGCCGCGUGCAGGAUGAAGGCCUUCGGGUUGUAAACUGCUUUUGUACGGAACGAAACGGUGAGCUCUAAUACAGUUUGCUAAUGACGGUACCGUAAGAAUAAGCACCGGCUAACUACGUGCCAGCCGCCGCAGUAA
RNAcentral lists this ribosomal RNA (500 nucleotides) under uncultured bacterium. RNAcentral describes it as "partial 16S ribosomal RNA". It matches the Rfam family "Bacterial small subunit ribosomal RNA", at positions 30 to 523 of the family's 1533-position model. The record is from RNAcentral.